CCUGCGGACGCAUGUAUGGAAAUUGGAUGGAAUACACUGUGUGGUGCAGUACAAACAUUAGCAGGGAUUUGCGUUUGGCAUGAUACAGCUUAACAGUGGAAAAAACGCUGUGUUCAGGGUUGUGUAUCAAUAAAUCACAACACCAGCCUGAAUUGUAAAGUCUUCUGUGUGUACUGCACAGAAAUAGAAAUGCUGUUAAACAUGUUUCUAGAAUGAUUUCCCUAAAAUGUGUGUUGUAUCCCUCAGCCAAUACAGCUGCACAUUAUGGUGCCAUACUGCAAGUCUCCAGAACAUGCUGCCCAUGGACUGGAGGAGAUUCAACUCAAAGUUGAAUUUUACAGUUUGAAAAUGGUGCUUCUUUACUUCUCAUGGCUAAAAGUAAACUUUCUUGUCAUGUGUUGGCGUUGAGGCACUGCAGCAGGGGAGCUGCAGGGCCUCUGUGAGGGAGCCGGGGCUGUCCCACACCAGUUCCAGAAAGUUCUGGAGGGCCCAGGGCAGGGCCCAGCCCCUCAGUGGCUCCUGAGGGGAAAAGGGCUGGAAGAAAGGGCAGCGUGGUGCUGGGCAGCAAGGGUGAGGGGAAAAAGGAAUCAAGACUAGUUAAGUGCAAUUCUCCAUUUGAUGAAGAAAUAGUUUCUAAAAUUUGGAAGCUAGUCCUUUUGAAAGGCAGUGAACUCCUCUGGGGAGAUAAGAGUGUGCCAAGUCCUGAGGGCUUUAUUGAGAAGAGGAUGUCUGAAGUCACCGUGCAUGGGCAGGCACAGAGCUCGUACGAUUUAUACAGGUACAAUUCACACAAGUCUGUCUGACUUCACCUCCUCCUCCACACCACGCUGGACCCACUUGUGUGCCUAUUGCUCUAAUGCCUCCAGCAAGUAGCUUUGCAGCCCCUGCUCCUUUCCCUCGGCUGUGGUUUGACAAGAAGGCUCUCAGCUCGAGCCUGCAUCUGGGAAGAUCUGAUGACUUGGCCAAGAUUUCCAGCUGCUGAAGUUACCUCGGUAGAUCAGUUCUUGUUGCAUAUGUGCAGUAGCUUUGCCUGGACUGCUGUGUUUCUGGAAAUCUGGAGCAUAAGUACAGUGCCGAGGCUCUGCAGCCUGUCAGACUAGGUCUGGCAGAGCUGGGGAGAGCCUUCGCAGCGUGCACGCCACACAUUUGGUCAGAGUGGGUGUCCAAGGCCCGGGCUGCUUUUUAGCCCUCUGAUUUGCAGCACCUGUGCAGACCAACACAAGCCUGACACUUCCCAGACUCAGCGGACUUAGGCAUAAGUUAAUGCUGGGGGGAACAUGCACACGUCUGUCCGGGAAGUUGCAAUCAACCAGCACCUGAAAGGCCAACAGAGCUAGUGAAAAGAUUUACAAUAAAUAUGUGUCCACAUACGUAGCAGAGGGAAUUGUCUUUUGUGGCCAUCUUGAAUCUUUUAGCUCAGAUUGACUGUAAUGCAAGAUUGGCUGUACUGCUGUGUGAGGUUCCACAUGCAGAGCACAUAUGGGCAUCAGACCACAUAACCCGAAAAUACACAUUUCUCUAGUGACAUUUAGCCUUAGUUUUCCAAAUGAAGACAUUGACUUGCAGCAAGACAGGCUUUUAAAGGAUGGAACUGUAAGUGUUUAUUUACCCAUGGUGUAAUUUUUAUCUUUCAUAAGAACACGGGUAUCAGCUGCUUAAUUACAGGAUUAUGUAUGUAAACGUGCACUUUAUAAAAAUUUGGAAGUAAAACCUUUGCCUAAAAAAAACAGUCUUAUUCUUGGCAAUCGAGUUCCAUCUACAGAAGCCUUUCAUGUUAGAGACAUAUCCCAUAUGUGAGUUAUUGUUAUAAUACAAUAAAUACUUUACAAAAAUAAUGCUAGCUUUUUUUUAAAAAAAAAAAUGAAGAAAUUUAACUCACCAUAGUCCCACCCAAACAGCUUCCUUGAAGAAUAGGUUCUUCUGUAGGAUACUGUACACUCAGCAUAUGAUAAAAAGGGGAAAAGAGGCUGGUUCCAUGCUUUGUCUGAGGGAACUUAGAAAUGUAUAUUCCACUUUUCCUGUUUUUUAAAAAAUAAACUUCCUUCUUUUCUUGAAAGAAAGAAGCAGAUCUAAACACUCUUCAUAUUAAAAAUUGAGAAGUAACUGUGAUUCUUUUUGCCUUUGACAUGAUUUCCUUCUGUGGCCUCACUCCUCUAAAGACUUACAGCACACUUAAUUUACAGGUAGCUGCCCUGAAGCUCUGCUCCCCAGCGUAAGACAUAAGCCCUGUCAGCUGUAGUUCCACAUCUGAGAAGUCUCCAGGAAUGGGCUGUUCGUGACACCUGGAGAACCACUGCAUUGGGACUGUUCCUUGUCCACAGGAAAACCGCAGCUACGCCCCCCUGCAGGUCUACCCCAGAUGGACAGCAAGGACCUGAGCUAGAGGGUAACAGGAAGAAUUCCAAGAAAGAAUUGCUAGUAAGGACAAGCCUUCUGAUAAGGAAACAUGACUUCAUUCUCUUCUGGUAGACAGCCAAGACAAACAAUACCAAGUCUGCACUGCUGAGGCUCGGUGGCACUGGACUCAUCUACACUCUGCCCAGCCCCAUUUAACUCUAAGGCACCUUCUGACAGCUGUGAGGAGAUUGGUAAGUAGUAAUGGCUCCAUGUAGUAGUAGUAAUAGUAGUAAUGCCACCAGUAAUGCCUCCAUGAUAUGGCCCAAGAGUUAGGGUGGUGGUGUGAGAAGUGGCUGCUUCUUCAGGAGAGCAAUUGCUCCCCUAUCCCAAUGUAAAAUUUGAAAAAUUGGCAUUCACUGAACUCUUCCUGGUACUGGAGAGUUAGCCUUAACAGCAUUAGCCCAUGACCAUGCAUAUACAUACACGUGAUACACAAAUAUGUAUCUUGUUUGAUUGGUUUCUAUACUGGGGAUUGUUUAUAAAAAGGAAAAAAAGAAAACAGAUCUAGAACUAUAGUCAUGAAAACGGAGCGGUUAAGACAGCUCUGGAAAAGCUUUCAUGCUGGGUAACUAUUCCAACAAAAAUAUGUUCUCUCAAAAAUUAAGAAAUAGAUCUUGUUUAGUAUUUCUAUCUCAGAGACUGCUUUAAAGAAUUCAUUUUCCCUGUUUUCUUCUUCCAGUGAUUAUCAAAACUGCAACGAUGAUUAUUUAUUUUUCUGUCAGACUUCCCAAAAUGUCUGUGGUAACAUGGUUCUUGUAUAAAUCCACAAUCAUCUCCAGAAGCAUUCAAGCCUAAAAUGAAGCCAUUUCUUUUAUGGUUGUUUGAGCUAUAAAUAAGGAUGUUCCUCUAAAAAUUGUUAAAAACAAUUGGCAUAGGUACAUUAAAACAACAGAUUUGCAAUGAAUUUCUAAUGAAAUAAGUGUAUCAAGCACAGAUGUCUUGAGACACCAACAUCCAAUUUUCUCCUGGCCAAAAAUAUACAGAAGAUAAAUAUUAACCCCGCCUGCUGGAGUGCACAAAAAGUUCUAUGUGCUUUGUCCUGUUUACUGAGACAAUGUUUCUGAAUUCACUUUAAUGGUGUAAACAUUGCCCUAAGCAACUGGAAGAUUAUGUUACAGGAAGAACUAUGCUUGCAGUACUGUGCAAGCCGUGGAGUCUACCACAUGGCUAUCCUCUGUUUCCUUUGUGAAACUGACGCAAACUGUCAGUGCAGCACCAGCCAUUCUGCAAGGUGAGUGUGCAAGUCAGCAGUGCAGUAUAAUAGCAGAACAGAAAUUAGUUAAUUAUAAGGUAUUGAAACGAUAAAUUUAGGUUUACACCACAUAACGACUCAGCUAAAAUGGUAUCAGCAGUGAUAUCAAGUUACUCCUGGUUAUGUCAUGACACUUUUCUGGACUAGUUGGAAGGAAAGUGAAGGACUUUGAAAUUUGCUGGGAGCAAAGAAGACAACACGACAAAAUUUAACAUUUGUGUUAUAUGGUGUCACUCUUAGUUGCACUUUCUGAUGGGCCUAACUGAAUCCCACAACUCAAACUCUGGUCCCAAGCCCAGCUCUGAAUUUUGUGCUCUGUGACGAGCCCUUGCUACACCAUGACAUGCAGAGGUAACAGCUCUGUAUUUAAAGCAGUUUAAGCAUGGCCCUCUGGCACCCUGUUCUGCCAAGACUAAUCCCUCCAGCUCACCAUGAGGACUAGCUAGUUCCUGGUGUGGCUAUGCUCUGCUCUGGUGCUGCAGCAAGCUCGGUGAAGCAGACAGACUGACCAGGCAGAUGGUCUUUGGAGCAGGGAGUUCUCCCUGGUACAGACCCAGCCUAAGGAACAACAAAAUGAACAUGCACUUUCAGCUUUUCCACAUCUUAGUUUGAUGACAGGGACAAUUGCGCUGCUACUAUCUCAAAGAAUUAAGCCCUAGAAGCAUUACAAGAACAGAGUGCUACCUACUGGAGCCCUCCAAUUCUUACUGUGCUAGAUUAGGGAUGAGAAGUGCUGGUCAGAGGUCAGUAUUACAGAUAUUGAUGAGCCUUUUGUGACAAUACUGACAGGGCGUUGCUUUCCAGUGCAGUGAAGCCAGCAGCUUCAAAUGACAAAUAUAAAGGUUAUCUUAAAGAUACAUCAAAUAAAAUAAAAUUAAUUAAUUAAUUAAUUAGUUUAAUUUAAUUAAAACUACAUGUGAUAUGGAUGGAGGUGAGGGGAAUGGGUACUGAUGAACCUGGAAAAGAGUUACUUUGAAGUCUGCAGUUAUUUUUUAAAGCAGAUCUUACAGCCUUUUUUCCUCUGUAUUCCAUAUCUUCCUAGUGGUUCUGUGUGGAGCUUUUUUAUCUUUAUUUAUUUUAUUUAUUUAUUUAUUUAUUUUAAGAGAAGGUAGAAACUGAGUAGAUAUCAAACAGAAUAAAUAAACCUAACAAAGCAGCACUAGUGUAGUAUGACUGGCAAAUAUGGCUCACAGGCCUCAUGCAACAUGCCACCAAGGAGGCAGCAUUAACUUUUUCUGCCUUAGAAUCACUCCUAUCAAUUAUUACUAAUGCCACAAUUCACAGUGAGGAUACUAACCAAAACAGGUUUAAUCAUAUCCUCCUCUAGUUCAGUUUCCAGGCCACAUCAACACAUUUUUUUAGGCCAGGAAUAUUACCUAACUGUUUCUACUCGGAACCCAUCUUGUCAAUCAUCACUGCUGGAACUCACCCAGUUGUAUUUCAGGUAUACUGCGUGUGAAAUUUGGUCAAGAUUCAAGAUCUUCAAAAAGGAUCAAUAUCAACAAAAAGCUCUUGUCUGACAAACAAUAGGGAGUUUUCCCUUUUUUCUUCAUUUGUUAAGGUGCCCAGUGCUGCUAGGAAAGCAGCAAAGCAGUGGGACAACAGAGAGCAGCGCUCUACCUACACAAGCCUGAGAAACCAGGAGUGAAAAGCACAGCGGAGAGACAUGGGAAAAAGUUCAACUGCAUGAUGAGGCAUCAGGUUCCAAACAGAGGAAUAGCCAGGAAGGUGGAAGACACAGGGCCCAGGGUCUCAAAGGACAGCUGAGAGGUUGUAGAAGGCUGGUUGGAAGAGAUGAGAAAAAAAACAUCAGAAAUGGAAAAUAAGCAGGUUCCUAUACAUCCCCCACAUGGCUUUAUUGUGUUACUUAGAACAAGUAGGAACAAGUCUGUCCUCUCUGAACAACCCUGCAUUUAAAAGGUCUUCAUAGCAUCCCUCAGCUAGUUUAUGUCAAAUGAGUGCAAACCUAUGCAAAAGGGGUACUCCUCAUGUGAGGAAAUCCAGAGAAAAGGUGCGAUCAGUUUCUGUAAUCAUCUUCUCUUGCUGAAGCGUAACAGACAUUGACAGAAUAGUUGAAAUGACAAAAAAAGAAAAUCAAAUACCUCAAACCAAACAGCCCUCCUUUGCACAACAGCAGCCCUUGCAGUUACUCUCAAACAACCAGUGUAAAAGUAGUGCUAAAGCAUAAAACUCCCCUUGAAACAUUGCAAGAUUUAACCAGGCUGGAACACCAUAGAACGACCAGUAAGUGUCAUCCCGGUCUUGCAUGCAUAGAGUCAAACAGCAUUUGCAUUACUGCAGCAAGACAGUCCACUAUACUUAUAUUUGAUUAUCACCUGAUAAACACAGUAGUAGCCUAGGGACAUGUUAAUUUUCUGAAUUCCUGUGAUUGUGUUCUGAUAUCCACCACUUCCUCCCUGAAAGAGAACACAACUCGGGCAUGAUACAGCAAUUACCUUCUUGCAGGAAACCAGAGAAGGAAUGGUCAUAAAGAAAACCCACCAGAGUAUCUUUUCAACUUGCUUUCUUAGGCUGAUUUUUUACAUCUGUUUAUUAGGUUUUUAAAAUUUCCAGGUACAAUUUCCCUUUAAAAUGUUAUUUUUGGUCUACACAGACUUAUAGUAGUAAAAAGCAAAGAGGCUGUGAGGUCCAUGAGAGGUAAAUGUGGCCAUUGUACUAGAUUAACACACAGCUGUUUGUUUUUUUUUCCUCCUUUUCAACCAAAUCCCAGGACACAAAAUAUUAAUUUGCUACAGUACCGUGGACUUCACAGCACUGCUAUACUGUGCAAUACGAGGGUCACCUUUAUCCUGACUCCUGUCAUAAAGAGGCAAGAGGCUGGCUCGAUGUCUCACAACCAGUCCCCUGCUGCUGUUUCACCAGCUGCCUCUAAUGCUUUUUCCACUUACUGCUCGUUAUGUCCACUCACAUGUUCCUGUCCUCUUCUAACUGCAAGCAGGAGCCCCAUCUGGCAGUGAGCUGACACUUUCUAGGUUGGUGGCUGUCCUCUGGAGCAGCCAGUGCCCCUCUUCCCAAGAAGAAGCCACACAAAUUGUCUCUAGGCUGCACGUAGCAUGUGGAGGGCUGGAUGCAAAGCCAUCGGGGAUGUCAAACCAUGUUAGCUGCAGCAGAAACCGAGUUUGUAUCCUCUUGCUUACUCAGCAGUGCUCAUUCAAAAUGCAACCAUGCUGUAUAUUACAUUGCAUGUACGUAAUAGAUCAGAUCUCCAGAGAUGUUUGGUCCAUGAUUGUGAAAUCGCGUCCUGUGUAUCACGGUCCUAUGAAGGCUCUUCAGUUAACAACCUCAGAACUACAACUUACAGAGCCCGAAGCCAUUGCAAAAAAGAAAAAUGAGUAUUGAUUCUGCUUUCACUUGCCAAACAGAUGAUGAGAAAUUCGCAAGUCAACAAGUGUCAUUAUUUCCAUUCAGAUAAGUAAAGUAUUGGUUAAUGAGCAAGAAUUCACUAUACAUCUUUUUUUUUUCCCCACAAGAGCAGACCACCUUUUACAACCUUCAAGCAAAGAAAUAAACUUUCGUUGACUUUUUAAUGAAUUAAUGGCAGCUUUAUCUCAGUAAUGCUUGAACUGCUGUAGGACAGUCAACCAGGAACUUCAGGAAUCUCUGUAUAUCCCUAUUUUUGCACCUGAGUAAGCAGACUAAAUAUAAAGCAGAACGUAAGGAGCCUAUUUCGGAAAGAGUUGAUCCUUGUGUGUAAGAGCUCUGUUAUUAAUGUUGCCCAAUGUUUUCCAGUUUACAGGACUAGGCUUUCCAGUUCUCAGAGUCCAGCAAAACUGCUGACUUAGUUGGCUGACACAUUUCCAGCAUCAGGUGGUGGAAAAAGAGUUCAUAGCAGAAGUAGUUACUGUAAAGACAAGCCAGGGAAAUGUUUCCAUCCUCCACUCAUUUAUCGAUUCCCUAGGUCUAAAUGUUAAAUGCUGUCAUGAAUCAGAGAAAGAUUUUGUUUCCUCUUCUCCUCCUCCGUGGUUUACAUACUGUUCAAAUGGCGAUGUUACACCAUUCACCUCCUGCCACAACCUGGGGCCCCUACAGCUUCCCCACCUUCCCUUCCUAAGGCUUUCUGGAAGGCUUCUCCCAGCGUGCGGGAUGCGUACAGGCACCACAUGUUGAACAUGUUUACUACCUUGGCCUGUCAAGUGUUGGACCUGCACUUGAUCCAAAGCUGUUAGACUUCUUAACGUUGCAAGCCAUCUAUGAAGUAAUGGAGCGUUGACUUGAGACAGCUUGUUCUCUCACGAAUAGAUCUUUUAUAUCUUUAUGUAUGUACUUCUUAGACAUAUCAAAAGGAUGGCAAUUUUGUGGGCUGGGGGACUAUAAGAAGCCAGGAAUUUAUUUAACCAGAAUACUCGUUCUAUUAGCGUAUUGUUUUUAUAAGCACAUCUUAGGCAGAACUACAUUUCAAUUUAUUGUUUUGGUUAAAAAAGACUGCUUAUUAAUGCCAAUUUUGCUUUAAGGCUCUGAAUUAAAACCAAAUCACUCAUUUUUUCCUCUUUCUAAUCCUUGAAGUUUUAAGAUGCAAGUGGCUUGCAAGAGGCCAUUCCAAGCCCAAGAAUAGUUUGAGGAAUAACAUAUAACAAAGUUUCUUUGCAGACAACUUUUUUUUUUUUUUUUUUAUUCCAGGCAGCUGCUGCAGAAAUUAACUUUAAGUCUUAGUUCCAUACAGGGGACCAUAUUUUAAGAUGAAAGUUAAAGACGUACUUUCUUAAAACCUUUAGGAAUGGUUGUAUUUUAUAAUAGCAUGCUAAAAGAGAAUUUGUUCAUAAACAAAUUUUACAAUGGAGAGUUGAAAACAGAAUUUAAAAUACCCAUUUAAUAUCAAAGAUAAUAUAUUCCAAAAUGCAAAAGCAAAGAUGGCUUUAGUAUCAUAAAUAGGUCUAUAUUGAUAUCUACAUUCUGCAAUCAACAAUAUCCAAAGAGAAAUUCAGAAAAAAAAAACUGAAAUCUGGGCAUUCAGACAGAGAGUACAUAUAAUCUCUCCUGGGUAGAGAGGCAGGGAACUGACUGCACAACAUGGAAGCCAGGCUGAAAGGUCACUUGGUUCAGUAAAAUGAUCUUGUGUAGCUUCACAAAACAUCACAUGCUAGCAAAAAUUUGUACCUGAAUGUUGGGAUUCUGCCCAUUGAUAUCUGCUUUUGACAGGUCAGGGAAGUUUGGGAGAUCCAGGAGGAAAGAUCUGGGUCCAUCUCUUUGUAAGGACGUGUGCCCGUUUUCCUGCCUGAAUCGCUGCUUAGGGAAUGGCCGGUGGGCAGCCUGAAGAUCAGGGUAUUCUCUUCUGUCCUCGGGGUUCAGGGUAAAGCUGUCUUCAGGAGAAUGGUCAUCUGCAGUAAGUGUGUUCUGGGAAAAAAAGCAACACACUAUAACAACAACUGAGGUGCAGUCCUGCCAGUACCCCCAUCUCCAGCUUCCUGCUAAUGGUGGCUGCAGACUGCAGGUAGAAAUCCUUACAGCAUCCAGACCCACCAUUACUUUCUUAAACAUCCAAGAUUUACCAUGUAUUUUCUAGGGUGUCAUGAGUUUGGCACUGGAUUCUCACUGAAAUAUACUCAGUUACGCUGGUGCAAAACCGUAACCAUCUGACACAAGAUAAAACUGAGUCAGGCUUGGGUGCUUGGGGCUUUCAGGUUCCUGGAACAUUCCAGCUUUCCAGUGACACCUGCACUUUGACACAAAUGUUUAAUUAAUGCAAAUCUGGAAACAUGAAGAUCUGAAGCAAUCCCUGUGAAAUGAAGUUGUAUCAGAUUAAACACAUCCCUAAAAUGGUGGAAGGAUGUCUUUGCCACUAAGCAUUUCAGUUUGCUUUGUUCCAGAGUGGAGCAAAACCAGUGCUAAGUUCUUGCUGAAAUUUAUGGUAUUCAAAGAUCCUACUGUGUUGAGCUGGCAGCUUCUCUCUCUCUCCUCAGUUUGCAGCAACUUCCAUCUAGUUGUCUGUCUUCCUCACCCAAUUUCUCUGGUCUUGAACAUCUGAACCUUCCUUCCUCUGGGAUCUCAUUUUCAUGUUUGCCUAAUGGUGGGAUUGAAUUUCACCAAGUUGUGGGUCAGCGGUUAAUGCUUUUGUUAUUGCUGAGCGUACUUUUGGGUUUUGUAGUUUAUUACAGCAGGCUGCCUUGGAACCAGUAGCACUGCUGCCACUGCCUUUGACCUCACCAAGGAGAUACAUUUAGUAUCAAAACACUCUCUCCCUGGGUUAGGACUGGCCUGGGGACUCGGAAAAAAAAAAAAAAAAAAGCAGACAAGUCAAAAAAAAGAAAAAAAAUGCAUGGGGCAAAUUCAACACAGGUUUUGCUUUUGACUCAGCUGAAAAAAUUUAGGUUUGAGGUCUUAGUAUGACUGCCUGGGGAGCUUUUAUUUUCAGUUCAUAAAGAUACAGCAAGCAUGGAUAGGGUAAAUGUUAAAAACCUAUCUUUUAAAACAAGCACAAUUAAAGUGGAAUGGCCACAUGUGGUUCUGGCUCUUCUGAAGCAUAUUUUUGCCAGCAUAUCUGGUUAAACACAAUCUUCAUUCAGCUCCCCUGGCUCAAAUUAAGCUAGCAUACCUUUUGUUAAGGUCUCAGAUACACAGCAGUUCCAGUGCCUUUUAUUUUGUGUUUAUUUGCUCAGACUGUUCUAAAUUGACCUUUGAAGAGAUUUUACAAUGUAAUCUGUGCACAUUACAGGAAGAUAUUCAGGGAGUUAAAUAAAUCAAGAUUUAAGAGUUAAUCUGGGACUAAGUGAAAUCUCAAGCAAAAGCUAAGGCAUUUCUCUUCUCCCCCUCUCACUGCACUGCAUUUGUAGAGAAGACCAAAAAUCAGAUUUUUGUAGUAUUAGUAUGUUCUUGGUGUGUUCAUGAUCAGAAUAUUUAUAAUCUGAAAGUAUCAAAAGGCUACUAAACAUCUCUCUACAGCACAAAUGUACAAAGUUCAUUCCAAGUUAGUGUACGCAUGCAGUGGUAGAAGCCUUUGUGCUCCUAACUGCGUUGUUUGAAUGCCAAAACAGCAAUGCUGCUCUUUGCUACAGACCAGGCAAGACUUUGGGAUGCCUUUGGUAGGCCAUCCAUUAACACACACCUUAUUUAACGUAGAGUAGAAAGAAAAUGAGCUUGCAUGGCUGCAAGCUCUAGGAAAUAAAACUGAGGGCCACUUAGCUCACUUUAGGGUCCUUACCCACAUGUUUGUGCUUUAACUUAACACUUAUCAAACCAAAUUUAACUUCAGACUUCUUGGUGCAUGAGGAUUAAAUGGCUUCUCAGCUAUGCCUGACCAACAACAAGGAGUAAUUGCACCGUUAUUAAAUUACUUCAGACAGGAACCAAAAAAGUGGUGUUUUCAACUACUUUUUUUUUUUUUUCCUGAGGUACCAUGCACAUAAUCUUGCCUUUAUUAAAAAUAAAGUGAGAAUUUAUUAAAAAAUAAUAAAAUUCUCACACACAAUUCCAUUCUUUUGCUAUUUGCUUGCACAUUCAGGAGCAUCUUGAUUCUCUGCAUUAACGUACCGUACAGCUAGAGAGCUGGCCACGGGCUUUAGAGCUCUACGUUUAAUUCCCUGAUAAGACUCGCUGUGUGAUCUCGGCAGGUCACGGUCUGUCUGUGCCUUGGUGGGGAUAACAGCACUUCCCUUCCUCACUGUGAUGUUUGUGGGGAGUUCGGCAACUACAAUAAUAUGGGCUAUAUAAAAAAGUUUUUAAUAGUGUCAAACAGAUGGAAUAUCACAUGGAGUUAGUUAGAAAAUUGUCAUGGCGAAGUAAUGACAUCAGGCUGAUCGGGCCCACUACCAAGCUGCUUGGGGCAGGGACUGUCAUUAAUUACAGCCUGACUGAGUAGGGGUUGCUGAACGUUAGAAAGGAAAACUGAGGGGAACAUCAAAACUGCCCCAUGCCAGGGGCUGCUGCAGCGAGGAAGGAGAUGGACCUCUGCAUCUUCAGGGUGGACAGGAGCAGGAGGUGCUGGUUCAACAUCAGUAACACAUUUCUAAUGGCAGUGACCAUGAAAAACAACUUCAGAAUUUAGAGUUGGAAGGGACCUACAAAGAUCAUCAAGUCCAGCUGCCUGACCACUUCAGGGCUAACCAAAAGUCAAAGCAUAUUAUUGAGGGCAUUGUCCGAAUGCCGCUUAAACACUGACAGGCUUGGGCAUCAACCACCUCUUUAGGAAGCCUGUCCCAUUGUCUGACCACCCUCACAGCAAAGAAACUGUUCCUAACACCCAGCCUGACCCUCCCCUGACACAGCUUUGUGCUGCCACCGCAUGUCUUGUCAUUGGCUACCAGGAAGGGACUGGAGCUGCCCUCUGCAUGUCACCUCCUCAGGCAGUUGUAGAGAGCCAUGAGGUCACCCCACCGCCUUUUUCUCCAGGCCAGACACAGUUUGAGAGCCGACUAUGCUGGGGAGAACGUGGAGCCUGUCUGUAAGAACAGGGUGGACUAGUGUCUGUCAGGCAUGGCAGAGGUCAUGCAGAGCACCCGCUGCCUAAAAGCCACGCCGGCUUUUGCAGACCCUCUCAGGCCAGGGCAAGCCCACACUGAGCCUUGUGUGUCAGACUGCAGCAGAAGCUGUCAGCCAACACGACGGGUUCAGCUAUCAUCUGCUCACGGUACCACCAGCAAAAGAGCGUUUGUUCUCAGUCAUUAAAAUAAAUAGGAGGCCUGCUUUUUAGAUAAAUCAUUUUUGGCAUUGUGUCUAAACUAAUGUGGAACAUUACUAGAAACAUUUAUUUCUGGUAGGAAGGUAACAGAGGCUGCCGUCAAUAAAAGUGAGCGUGCACUGCACCUGACAAGCAGAAGAUGGGCUCAGUGGUGUAUGGCACUAACUCAGGGGAUGGCUCUUCCAAGGCCAGCCCAGCAGGGAAAAGUGUGUCCGUACUGCAGUGCCAGCAUGCCUUCUGAAGAAAGCAGUGUUUGUGUUCCAAAGCUAACAGAUGAAAACCUGGGGAGGGCUAUCCUUCUCUUCUUAUUUCUAAGUUAUUUCACAUGUUUUUAUUUCACACUAUUUAUUUUUGGGUGUAUACAAUUUGUAUUUCCGAUUGCUUUUGGGAAAGCGGGGUUGCUUCCCUUGCUUCAGAAGCAAUGUCACUUCAUUCUGAACUACUGACUCAGUUUCCUUGAAGUUAUGACAUUUCUAAAUCAGGCACAUCAUUGGUUUAUUGCUCAAAUGAUGCAUCUGCUCUAAAUAUUUUAAGAUAAAUCACUUUUUUCCCUUCAUUUAACAGGAUUAUUCAUAACUUUUAAACUUUCCAUUAGGAUGACUUUUAAGGGGUUACUCAUGAUUGCUGUCAGCCACAAUUCUGCCGUCCCCGUGGGAUCAGAUAUUUAUGGAAGUCCCCAGUAUGAAAACAGCUUAGGAUUUCUGAGCAUUCUAAGUGUGGACAGUAUACAAGGGCAGGAACUCAUUAUUCAUAGCCGUGUGACAAGGCACUGAAAUAAACCCUAUAGAGAGAAUCUGCCACGCUGUUUGUGUUACACACUAACAUACCCUGCCAUAGUCAUCCCUGAAAAAGGGGGGGUGGCAAUAAUUCCCUACCCCUUGUCUGCUGCGUUUAGGCUCUGUGAAGAAGUGGCAAAUGGGGAGCACAGUUAAAAUACAUUAGAAAAGAGAGCACAGAGAUAAAAUGUGCUAUCUAUCAUCUCCUUCAUGGCAGAAGCUGUACAGGGUGGAGUGUGACGGAUGAGUUGGGCCGUGCAAGAAAAAAUAAAGCAGACCCUGAGCAUCGUUAUCCCAUCUCUGCCACAGACUGAUAUGAGACUUGAUGAAGUCACUCCGAUUUGGUUUAAAAUCCCACAUAUCGAUGUAUUUGUGUCUACCUAUAAACCAGGGAAGAAGAACAAUUCACAGGCAUUUUGUGAGGAUAACUUUAAAAGUUGGUGAUACCGGUGGGACUUACACAAUGGCAUGGUUUAAGGCAGCAAGAUACAACUCUGCAUGCGGGUAAAAUUUCCUACCUGAUACUGCAGCUUAAAUUUUCAAUAAUUAAAUGGGUAUUUUAGCUCUGUCCGCUGCUGCCUUAUUGUUUCUACCUCUAUCAUGUUAGACGUGAGCUGCAGGGAAGUGCACCGUUUCUCUUUCCCAUAGAUAAUUAAACAGAAUUUGGAACUUCUAAAAAUACGCUACUAGGGGAAAAGGGAAGUCCCCUGCAUUUUUAGCAAGUGAGGAAUCCAUCUCCUUCCUCUCCCCUUUAUUUUAAUCCCAUUUCUAGCUCUGGAAGAACAACCAAGACAGGGAAUAGGUGAGGAAUGGCUGGACCUACAGAAAACAUUCUGUAGGAGCUGCUCUUUCUCUGACUUUCAUAGUUCUUACUCACCUUCUUUCAUUUGCUCCCCACUUGCCAAGCUAAGGGCACAUUUGCAAGCACUGCUAAUUACAGAGCUGAAAGAAUUUGGGAAAACUGAUGCCGCUUAUAACCCUAACAACUCCCAGACAGAAAGGGAAUCUAUUACCAAAUACCUGCUAUGGCUACACUGCCUUUAUUUUUUUUUAUUUUUUAUUUCUUGUAUACUCCUUUGAAAUAUCUUGUAAAAUGAUCUUGACAAGAGGUCUUGAAUUGAAACCCGACAGUCUGUCAAUGCACUUUCAUGAUGCACCUGUACAGCAUCUUCAACCACCACGAACGAGGAACAUUUAUUUAUUAGGAAACUUCACAGACGCUAUAAAAGAUUAUAUUGCUAUCAGAGACAAAAUGAGGCCUGGGGCCUUCACAGAAAAUCAUUAUAGCCAUUAGGGCUGGUUUCAUUUCCCACCUGCCUAAACAGAUUGUUUUGAUUUUGAAGGCUGUCGUGUGUUUCCAAGUUAGUGCCAAAUGAUCACUUUAAAAUUAACCCAUCUGGGGCGGCUGAGUAACGCACCGGGAUACCACAUGAGACUUUCACCUCCGCAGAUCCAAGAUCCGUAAUGAACUUGGGUGAUCUAACGCCUGGGCUUUAUUUAUUUACUUUUUAUAUCAUGAGUGUAAGCAGCAUGUGACCUAGCAUGAAGAAGUAUGAGGACAGUGUUGGGUAAGCAGACAGUGCGGCUAACAGCUGAAAAGCAUUAUCGGAGAUACACAGAGGAGAAUUUAUUUUAUGAUUAAUGCCACGUACAGUCCAGGCAGUCAGGAGACCCACGUUCUCUUCCUAGCUCUGUUGUGGCUUUCUUAUAAAACAGGCAGCUCAGUUAGGCUCAUACUUAAUUUCUGUGGUGGCGCUGAGCCUCGCAGCUCCUUCGCUCCAAGGAGUCACUGACAGCUCCCACCUCCAGAAGUCACACCAGAGGUGUGGCACAUCAACCACCCAGCUUCUGAAACACUCGCAUUUUCCUUAAAGCAUGCUUGUCCCUCAUGUUCACAACCGUCAGUGAGGCAAAAGACUUACUUAUCUUUGGAAAGCCACAUAAAUUAAUUGAUGCAGUAAUUAAUAGCCCAUUUUAGACAACCACGGUUCAUAAAUCAUUUAAAAUGGACUACACUGGCUUGCAUGUACACAACCAUUUUCACAAAGUGGCUGCAAAACCUAUCAUCUGUUUUAAGCAUUGUGCAUACAGAAGACGAAUUGCUGAUACAGGUGCUAAAAAGAAAGUCCUGUUUAGCGUGGUCUAUUUUUUAAUAUCUCAAUUCAGUCUAGAAAAAUUAGUAAAAUGACAUUGUAUCCCAUUCUCUUUAACCUGCAUGUAUGACUAGAUGGCUAUGGAGACACCAACCCAGGCAUCCCACAGGGUACUGCCGUGGGAUGCAUUAGCUCCAGGGGCUGUGGAGCUUUUUGAUUUUGUUUCUGUGACGAACAGGAGUUGCAGGAGCUGCAAACUGUUGUAAUAGGACAGCAGAACUUCAGAGUGGAAGUGGUGAUCUGCAGUCACUGUUGGAGGUUAAACGCUGGGUGCCAGUGGCAGCAGUUACGUAGCUGGGGGUGCCCUACUGCUGCUGGUUUUCUCAUGCAUGCUGAGAUAGCUCUUGGGAGCUGUGUACAGCAGAAGCAGCACCUCAAAGCAUCUGGGCACACUCAUCUCAGAAUCAGAGCUUUUUAUUUUUAUUUUUAUUUUCACUAGAAAAUUCUAGCCUCCUAGUUCCACAGAAAAUCUUGAGAGCUGAGCACUCAGCUGAGACUUAUGCUAUGUCUGCAGGGAUGCAGGGGCAGUGGUACUGAGGCCACCUUCCCACCUAAGCUCCAGUAAGUCCCAGACCACUCUUCUGAGGCACAUACCCAACACUACGGCAGGACUCUCCGCAGCAGAAAAGCCCUACUGCCAUUCCUCCCUUGCUGAGGCUGAAUAAACAGCCUCCAUAUGCUUGCAAUCAUCGACCCUUGGUCCAUCCUUUCUUCAGCCUCUGUCUGGUGAGCUUCUCUCACCAGGCUCCCCGUCUCUUCCACAGCAUUACUAAACACUAGGUUCGGAGCCGAACUGCUCUGGCAGUCAAUAUUGUUUUCCUCAGAGCUCAAGGAGAAAACCAACCAUAUUAUACUCAGAUCUGGCAAUUUUUUUCCUACAUGUUGUGGACACACAUUUCACAGCACAGCUAUUUUUCAUGCUCUGUUGUUUGCUUGUAUUUUGUGUUUUCUUUCAGCUGCAAAAUACAAACAGUAUGGCUCAACUUAGAGGUGAAGAGCUGCCAGUUUGUAUAAACACUGAUAAUAAAAUGGACUUGAUGGUGAUUACAAUUCAAUGUCUGCAGGAAAAAACAGAGGCCCUUUAGCAAAUUUUUCUAACACAGUACACACUGAUGCUUUGUUCUUCAGCAGAUACUCAGCCAUCCAUGAGACAGCCAAGUGCACAGAAUUAAAAUUAUGUAGGGCUUUGACAGAUGAUCAGUGCCAAGUUUUGCUUGUAGUUAACAGAUAUUUCCAGUUGCUUAAGCUGGUGGUAAACCUUUAGUCAUUCUUUAUGACUCUGAUGAUCUUCCCCGUAAUCACCGCCUGGCUGGAGCUCUCCAUGCAGGACUCAUUGAUUUAGCAGUCGAACAGGCGAAUGCACAACUGGAGAGCAAGCCAACUAUUUCACUCGUAUAACCUGUGAUGCCAAAAUGCAAAUUCUUUGAAAGUACUGAUUCUUUUGGGCUUUAUUAAAUCCUUGCAUAAAAUCAGUAGCAUAAUAUAGUUUUAAACAGAAUCAAUUUAUGCCAUGGCUAAAUUUAAUUGAAGUCAUCAUUUGAAAUCUGUAUCUUAAUUUAUACACGCAGUUCCAAGAGAAUGGGAAACUCUGCCUUAAGCUGUAAUCAAAACCACUAAAGUAAAGGAUAUCCAGAGUAUUAAUACUUUUUGUAUACAACUUUUUGGUCAGGCUUUGCAGGCCAGCAAACAAAAAGUCAGUGUAAAUGAAAGAGAACAAACAUACAUCUGAAAUUAUUUUCAUGGGUUUUAAACUAGGUCCUUUUGCAAGUUUAUUCCACUAAAUCACUGUAGCUAGGAUUUCACUAGGUGAACCAGCUUUAAUAAAUGAAGUUUUCAUCUCUCCCUAGCCAAAAGAGUAACCUUACUUGAAACCUUUUCAAUUUUCAAAGUUGCCUUCAGCUGUUAGUUUCCAAGAAACAGCUAUUCCCAGCCUCUGUGUCUCCCUCUUAUAUGCCACUGAAUAUCCACCCUAUGCUUUCAAAAGUGUCUGUGACUCUGGCUGUGCUAGCUGGCAGAUGUUUUUAGAGACUAGAAAGUGUUUAGUCCCUGUGGACCAAAAGUUACAUGAUGACUUCAUCACAUAAGCAAAAGCUAAUAACGGGAAAGCAAGAAAGCAGACAAGUGUUAUAUUCCAAAAACAUGAUGUUUCCUGUGCUUCUGGCAAUACUACUUCUGUGCCUGAAAAAAGGCAAGUCGCUGGUCUUGAUGCUCAAAACACACACGCCAUCGAAGCACUGUGAGAUAAUUUACUAGACCCUCUGUUAGCUGCAUUCCCCACCAACACGAGUUUUUAUUUUGAUAGAAGUUAGAGGGUGAAGGCAGAGGAAAAGCAGCGCUUGUUUAUAUUCAAUACCUAUGCCCCAAGUAUAUGCCUUACAACACUCUAUAGAAGGGGUUGUUACUACACCCAGGAGCUUACAGAGAAACAGCAGCAGAAACCUGAGCGGCUGCCUCGGGAUCGCGCACCUCUGCUCCUGCAGCAGAGCUCUUCCAAGGCUGGGGGUGCUGCUGUAGGCUCUCCGUCAGAAAACGCUGGAGACUGAUACACGAGCAACUGGAAGUCGUUAGCAUAAAUGGCGUCUGCACACGCAGCGCGAUAACUGUUGUGUUUGUCUGUCAAGGCAUCAUCAGCGGGCAUUGUGCCCUCUUUCUACAUCACUGUGAACUGCCCUAAUGACAGAGCAAGAGAAAGAAAGGGGAGGAAGCAGAUAGACAAGAGAAAGGCCUCCCUCCAGUGACAUGAUGGGGAAGAAGAGCAAGCAAGGAGAUGCGCAGCCCCAUGACAAGACAAUGUGAGGACCCUUCCCUGUUUAAGAGAUGAGAGAGAAAGGAUUUGCCCUGGAGAGAAAUGUGGGCUUUUUAUAUUAUAAAUUCAAUGCAUGUAUAUAUACAUUUUGUGAGAAUAGUAAGGGAGGGAGACUAUUUCCUAGAGCUGAUUAAAGAAGCAUGACUCGAUUUUCAAUUUCAAACGACUCGGGGGGCAUUCCAAUAGACUGCAGACAGGAAAUGAAUACCAUACAUGCACUGAGCAAGGCAGAUGCUUUUGAAUCUGACACCUACGUGAAAGAAAAUAUCUUCAUUUCUGUCUCCCCCCACCCCACGAUCGCUGGUUAGUUCUAGGCUAUUCUUAGAAAAUGGUUUUAUUUUUCGAACUUGUUAUAAUCGUUCCACGUGCCUGAAGCCACCCAGAUGCCACUGACAAUAAACCGUAGGGAGCUGCUGGUCAAAACCAUGCCUAGGCUAGCCACAGCAGCCAGAUGUUGCAGCAAGGUAGAGGAGGAAAGAUGAGCAGCUUGGGUUUGGGAUGUCCUAGCCUCCCCCGUUAGAGGGACGGAGCUGUGACCCUAGACGAUACACCAGCGCCCAGGGAGGAAGAACUGCUUCUGCAUAAAGGGAGAGUCCAAAGUGUCCACAGCACGUGCGCUGCAGAGCAGGUUGGAAGAGUAUUUCCUGGCAGGCUGUGGCACAGAACUCGCUUCCAGCUACUUAACUGUGCUAAAGAGACGUCUUCUCUCCUCAUAUGGCUCUUACCAGUAAACUGCGAUGAUCGUCAUGGGAGUAUUAUGGGGUUUAUAACCCGAUUGCAGUGUAAUUGUAGCUCUUUUUACCAACAGCAGCAGUGUGUGCUGGGGAAUUGGCAUAUACAACUCUUUCCCCUACUUAUUCCACAUGUGUGCAAACGCACAAUUUCAGCUGCAGUCUCCUCUUGGAUUUUACUAUGGAAAGACUUAAAUGGAAUAGAGGAAAAAAAAAAAACAACAGAGAGGUGAUAUUAAACUGGCCCUUGCUCUGAUGUUAUGCAACUAAUUAGCUCAUUUUAGUUUGAUGUAAGGACUGCGAUAGCUAUAUUCCUGAGAAUACAAGAAAAAAUAAGAUCCGUUUACUUGUAAGACCAGCAGGAGAAGAAGAAAGAAGAAUGGGUAGGUGAGAAAGGCAGCCAUGCCUUACAUUAUUCAAAAAGCCAUGAAUGUCAGAUCAAAGAAGAGCAAGAAUCAAACUCACUGCCACUGAAUUCAGCAGCUUUUUCAGAAUUAUUGAUCCCUCAAGGGCAAACUCUUUUAAACUCCAGCAAUGCCUCUAACUAUCCAGAGCUCUCAUCUGAUGCCGGCUGAGCCUCACGUAGUUUGCUUUCAUCAGCUGGCAUCUUGGGGAAAGCAGAGACAGCUAAGACACUGCUGUAUCUGGGCCUGAUGAAGGAGACAUACAGCAGAGCACAGAAAUACCAUGUGUGUAUUUUCGGCACCAGAUGUUACCUUUUAAUGGUCAUUGUGGUGGAUGUUAAAUAAAAGACCAGCUUCCUCACUGAAAAGCUGUACAUUUGGUAUCCACCGAGUCCUUGGAGAGCUUUGUCCGAGGACAGGAUGCAAUCACCCCACUGAGAGCCCAGCUGCCCUGAGCAGGAUUUGUUUGCUCAGCUCUGUCUGGAGGCACCAGCACCUUGCUGAUGAGUACAACUCACCUCGUAUUUGUUGUGGGACGAAGGUGGGAUAAGGCAGCUAAAGAGCUACUGCAGCUCAGCUGGCGACUUGUUCAUGAGUUUGGACUCACAGGUCUCAUCUGGACACCCAGAAGGACCAGGAUCCAACCCGAAAUCAAGUCUUAAGAUGUCAAAUGCACUACAGAUUGGCCUCUUCCUCCCCCUGCUUCUUGGGCCAGGUGUCUUUGGUAGGGAAGCCUGCAGGCGUUCUGCCUUGUCAGGACACUGCAGGGCCAUGCCCUAAGCCAGAGCCACUGGGAUUGGGUGCAGUAAAGCAACUUCACUGGGCACAUCCCCAGAGUGUCUCUUAAGAGCUGCCUUUGGGCUUCUGACACUGAUCCCCUUGCACCGGGCUCGCUGCUGCUGCCACCACCGCGUCACUGGGGACUGUGCACCCUGCGUCUCGCUGCCCCUAGGUUACGCGCACACCACAAUGGUGCACUGCGCAUUAUUCAGCUCUUUCCAAGCUCUUCCCACAAUUCAAAGUCUACCUAUUCUCACCAGCAUUUAGUGCUGUUUGGUACCUUAUACAUUUUCAUGAAAUAGAUGACCCUUUUCCUUCUGCGUGUUUUGAUCAAGAGCAAGAGCUAGCACUGCUACCAUUUAAAUGCAUAUCAAAAGCUCCAGGGCUCUAUCAGGCUAAAGAGUUCAUUUGAAACCUUUGGUGCUAUUGUUCCAGAACAUCUGAAGACACAGGCAUGGUGUGGCUGCCCUAGGUUCCCUUUUGAAAUAUAUUUCCACAAAUGUUCAGCAUAGACAUAUCAACCCCUCUAUUCUUUCCCAAUAAAAGCUUGGACUUUAAAGCACAAGAUGAGGAAUAGAUACUCUAUUGGCCAGCUGCAGCUAGCCUUUCAUAAAUAACAGGACAAUCAAUCCCUGUAAAGGAAAAUGAUACUCCAGAAGCUCUAUCCUGAUGUACAUCUGUUUUCCUAUUGUAGGAACGAAUAAGAUGACAGAAAAAGUUAAAUGCUGAAAGCCUAAACAAACUCUGAAUUAAGAGGAGAUGGUAGUAGAAAUGAUGGAUGAAUUGUAAACCACCUGCAAAUGUUAAGAUUGCAGCACUCUUCUGCAGACCACUGCAAACCUCCGAUAGACAUGGACUGUGCUCUGUAAAAAUCACGAUGAAUGCAGACUUGUUUUUUAUAUUAUGGAGGUCCUAAUCCUCCUCCUCCUCUGCUUUUGCUCUAUUGUUACAACAUCAAAGACCAACUGCUGGCCGAGAUACAGUCAAUAUGAAAAGGGCGACCAGCAAAUUUACUGCUUGACUUCAUUCCCUUUAAAUGGAAUAGGCACCAUGGCCCUUUUUCAAAGUCCAAUCACAGACAUAUAUCUUUUUUAUUGGACAUCAUGUACAAUAAAGUGAAGCUGUAACUUGGAAAAAAAAUAGAACACCUUAAAAAAAUCCCAUGAGGUGAACAUUCCUUUAUAAAAAUAUCACUGUGGUUACGUGUUUAGAAAAACUCUGGGUGCUCUGCAGUGCAAAAGGCAUGGACUUGUUAGGUUAUAGUUUAGCUAAGAUGCAUACCCAUGCCUAAUACCUAGUUGGUUUCCAAAUUAAAAAAAAGGCAACAAAAAACCCCAAAACUAAUAAAAAGUGAUAUAUUUAAGACAGAAUGCCAGUGUCAUUCAAAUAAACUGAAAUGGCAGCACUGAUGUCACAAGAAUCAUUAACUGCUUUGUUACAGCCUGCUCUGUGCAGUGAACCUUUACAGACUUCUUCAUGCCAGCGAAUCUUAAAAUCAGCAGCACAAAACACCAAUAUAUACACCGCAUCUUAAACAACUCCAGGCUGAUUACUGAGGUAAUUUCAAAGGACACUUUCAGAUAAGAGUUGUAUCCGCAGACAUUAAAGGCACGGGCAGUUUUAUUGCUAUUGUACCACUAAGUAGAUGCUAAGUAAUUUCCUGGUAUGAAAUUAAAGAGUGUAUAAGCAACUCAUCUGAUGUAGGAGAUGAUUCUGGUGGGGUUUUAUAGAAUCCAGGCUAGCUAGCUCUGGCUUCUAUUUUUUUUUUUCUAAUUAUAAAUGUUAUGUCAAUGUAAUGAGAAGUUUUUGUUUUAAUCUGUUUAAACUAUUAACCCAUUUUGUUUGUUUGGGUAAUUUGUGCAAAAAGAUAUUAGUAAAUGUCCGAUUAGUAACAGUAUAUCUAGAUGCAGUUCACAUGGGUUUUAAAAUCCUGCACUGAUAUGUAGGUGGCAGAUAAAACCAAGCAAGUUUAUGCUGUUAUACACCUGCAGUAAUCUUAGGCAACUGCUUCCAGUGGAGUAAUUUUGGUUUCCUCAUGGCAAAAUCUGCUGCUGAUGGCUUACUUUUAGGUGAGAAAGAUACUAAAACUAUUUGGUGUUUUUGCAAGACUAUCACCCAAAAUAGCUGUGCUGUCACUAGGCCCUCCUCGCUGCUCUUUCCAUUACGUUAUGCUCCGUUGGCAGCCUUUCCAUUGCACCUACAGCACAGACCUUCUGGGGAAAGGACCUCGCCUCCCACUCAGCCUUCCUGGGCUUGUGCAAGAAGAGGUGUUUCAAUGACAGUGUGCAUUGUUCGAUACCUGAAUACCCAAUCCUACAGGAAUGCAAAGGCCAGACGCCUGAAGGAAGCCUUUUGGAAGUUAAACCCGCCCGAGGGCAGCACCCACCCAGUGCCUCUUCCUUAGAAAGGGAGGACUCCGCUUUUUCAGAGCAGUACUGUAAAGAGGGAUGGAAAAAGAUGAAGAAAAACAUUAUCUGGGUGGUUUAUACAGAUACACUGCACUCAUGGUAAAGUGCUGAUCUCAACAGCUGUGCAGGCGAAGAGACUAUUUUAAUCUUUCCGAGGAAGAAGAGCUACUGCGGAACAAAACAGCCCAAGAUAUUUCAGUGGGUAUGAAAAUAACAAAGAAACAUUUUGGAUGGAAAUGGAUUCCUGCAAUCAGAAGAAAACUACAUGCCAAAGCCCAGCUUGUUUUCAUGGAUGGAGGUCCGGAUUAAGUGCGCUACACGCAUGUCAAUUCUUUAGAAAAAAUGAGUUGUGGAAUAUUCAGAUCCAAGAGGAACUUUGGCUGGGUCUGCAGCCAGCACAAGUCAUUGACUCCUCUUGCUUCAUGAAAGUCAGAGGCACAAGGUCAAUUUAAACACACUGAGAACGUAGGUCUAGCAUGGAGAUGCAAAAGCCAAGGUACCUUUGAACUUCUCCUGCCUUUCAACAUGGACCGGACCCACUGCAACUGACGAAAGAAAGAUUUCAUCUCUGAUUUUCCUCUCUCAUCUUUAUGAGCACCUCCAUAAAUUGAAAAGGACCCAAAUUAUCAUUAGACUAAAAGAGCUUAGAGGUGAACAACUCCGGGCCUGCUUUCAUCCUGCUGCCAGCUUGAAGGGAAGAAUACAAAAAUACGCCCCACUACUAUGAUUUCUCCAAGCACAGAAAAACAAGGGCAAAAGGAUAAAGGAACAGCUUACCAGUACCGCCCACACCAGCUCCUCCGACCAAGUAUUACACUGCUGCACAACUGACCAAUGUGGCAAGCCAUCACUUGUUACAAUGACAAGUUACGUUUUGCUUUGUUUUCUUUCUUUUUCUGGUACUUCAAACUGAAAAUACAUGGAAACACCAGCACUGGAAAGGCUCUGCUCUUACGGAUGGGUCUAUGGGCUCAGUGCUCUAUUUCUUGGAAGCCUUACUCAUCCGAAUGUGUUCAACUGUGACUUUUAACCUGGCAUUUUCUGUCUUGAAAACUUUUAAAAUCAGUAUCCUGAGGGCACAAUGGUAUUACAAUGCAACAGUUAGCACUGUAUUAUUUAAUACUUCCUUUUGCAACUUACUAAAGCACUUUCUAUUUUUCUGCUGUACGCUGUCACUUUAUUAUCCAUUGUGACAGUGCCUACAGCCUCCACUCAUGCCUGGAGACCUAUUGUACUACAUAUUGCUUGCAAGCAACAACAACAACAACAACAAAAGAAUCUCAACCACAAAGAGCCUUGGUUGAGAUUUCAAAAAUAAAGGAAAAAAAUAAAAUGCAUCACUGACCUAGAUCUGCUACUACUGAAAAAUAAUGCUUUAAAAAAGUCAGCUUUAAUGGAGAACAUAAGUUAGUCAACUCAAAGAGCUUUUGAUUAGUCUAGUCUUAAGGCAGAUAGGAAGAUAUGAAUCUAGCAAAGCAGGCCAAACAAGCACCAAACAACACUGAGAACAGCACAAGUGAGGUACAGCUGGGUACCACCUCAGGCGUUCACAUGGAAGACCAGUAAAAUGCACAGAAAAGUGUGCAGCAGCCAACUCUGAUACUUAAACCUGGCACAGCCCCUAAAUCUUAUCUGUCACUAUACUUUCAGGAUAUAAGCCCAAAGAAAAACUAGCUUGCUUCACUUUUAUAGUUUAUGUUUGUGUAAGAAAACAUCUAAAUUGCCUGCAUAUAUAUUUGAAGUGUGAGUGCAUUUCAAGAUUGUUUAAUGACUUAGGAGAAUGUAAGCAUCAAAAGAGAAUGGCAAGACAAUUUCCUACCAUUGCUUGCAUUCUGUGCACUUUUAUAUUGUGGGGGAAAAAAAGGAAAAAAAAAAAAAAAAAGGAAAUUGUUAAGCAUGAAUAUCUACAAACCUGUGGGAAGGCCAAGAUAGCGUAGUCCGCAUCGUUAUCACUACUACUGUCUCACACAGGGUGAGUGCAUGGGAGCCCGUUCCCCGUUUUGAUUUGGGCAUUUCAGCAUCAAGUAAGCAGGACUAAAACCGGUGAUGUUUUGAGCAGAAACCUGUGGUUACUGUGCUGAAGCUGCUUUGCAGCAGAGAUGCGCAUGGGGCAGGGCCUGUGCCGGGCACCACUUCCUUACUGACCUGUGAGGGUUUCCUCGGGCGGGCUCUGCCCCGCUCAGUGGCAGAGGAACCAUGGCCAGAAGGUGGCUUCUUCCUAGGGGAAAGCAAGAGCUGUGCCACAACGUGCCUGCUCCGCUCAGCGAACAAUGAUGCACUAGACGAUGUGAGCCAGGCAGCCUUUUCACCUCCAAAUGAGGACUACAGCGCAGCCCCGUAACCAGAGAGAACUUCUGUCCAACAGAGAAUGAAGUGAGGUUGGGCAGCUCUGCAACGGGCAGCCUCUGCACUUCACUUUGUGAGGUUUUCAGAUGCUGCAACACAACACAGCCAGAGUUUUCACCUAAUCUUUCACUGCUCCUUGUUUUCUUUAAAGAAGUUUUUCCCCAUUUUGGAACAAUGAGGCACUGGUUAUCAAUAUACAGAUGCAGACAAAAGAAAAACUGCUGAAUUCAAAACACAGAUCCCAAUUUACAUUUAAUACUACCUGAAUCGGUUAAACAGCUCUCUCCCCAGCAAAACAACUGCAAAGCAGAGCAAGGUGUUGAAAAGCUUAGCAUGCUGAAGCUCUAAGUACUAGGGAUGGGUUACCUAUUAGCAGGUCAUAACGCGUGUGAUAAAAUCACAGGGGAAUACACAGUGACCAGCUCCUGCCUGACAGUAAAACGAUGAUGAAAUUGUUGGGGCCGUGAAGACCAACAGCAGAGCUCCAAGCAGAGGCCUCCUGUCUCUGUGGACAGCUGGUGUGAGGAAGGACAGAGCGGGGAAGUGCAGCUGGACCUAAGGACUGACGGCCUGAGCAGGAGGAGCGAAGGAGAGAUUUCUGUGCCCAUCAGAUAACAAUUAGGACAUAGCAAGACUGAGGAAAAAAAAAAAAAGGAAAGAAAAAACAGAAGAAAGGAACACGGCAAAUCAUGCACCUACUGAACACCUGGCACUGUCUGGCACGUCUGGCAGGAGAGGGUGACAAGCUAGCCAGCUGUACAUAUGAAGCAGACUUUCACUGUAUCACACACGUAUAUAUCAAAUAUAUAAAUAUAUGAAAUUUAUAUUAAACCAACAAUAUUAUUUUUUCUUUAGUAUAAGUGAUAACAACCUGAAGGAUGCCCAUUUGCUUGUACCAACAGUUUUACUUUCCACAUCGAUUCUUUACCUGUGGGUGCAAUGCACUAGUGUUUUUCAUUUCACUUCAGUGUGAGCCAUGGUAACAGCCAAGAAAUCACUCAGCCCCAAAAUCUGAGGACACCAGUGCAAACCUCCCAUCCAGGUCUCUAUUGCGAUGCCCUGAAUGGAAGCAUCUGCCUGUCAGGGUUCCAUUUGCUGAAGCAGGUCACAAUAUUUUCUGGCUAGCGAAGGAAUCCAUGAAAGUUAUAAAACAAAAAAAUGGAUCGACUGCCAUCUGUUUCACUGAUUGCUCUAAUCAAUAUACUUUCCUCCCCUAAUGUCUUGUACAGACACGCUCUCUCAAAUACGUAACUGCAGAAUCAAUUCAGCUGGGAAGUAUAUAAAAAUUUCAAUUUGAUAAAUGUCAAAACACGACAAAAAACAUGAACUGCUAAAGCUAUCACGAUGCUUAAAGGCACAGACUUUCAUUAAGCUAUCUGUAAAAAAAAUAGAACCGGACGGAAAAAAAUUCUUGAAGUCACCAAUCAACAGAUUUUGAUGAGACAGUGUGACAAGACUCGAGGACAAUUAUCUGAUCUUCCUCCCGCUUCACCUUAACUUUACAAUAGCGCUCUAAAAAGGGCUCCUCAGGGAAAUGGCAUCACCCAGAGUUCCCACUUGCCCAGAUGUUUCCCUCAUUAUGUUACAAGCCUGUCAAGAAAAGGCAAAUUCAGGGUUAUUCUAAUGAUAGCAAACACCUCAUAAAAAACCUCUCCAAAUUUACUUUUCCAAGGAACAUCACUUUAAAAGGCAUUUCAAGUGCCCAUGAGGAAAGAAAGCAUCAUUUAUAAAACAUUAUUACCAGAAAUCUUGAAGAUAUUAACAACAAAAAAAUAAAAUGUCCUGGAGCGUCAGGCCAGCGAUAAAGCUGCAGCCCCAAAGAGCGGCGGCACCUUGGGCCCUUUUCCGAGGCAUGCGGGUGAGGACUCCCGGGCAGGAUCCCCACCA
Molecule: long non-coding RNA, 26572 nt
Organism: Cygnus olor (mute swan)
Lineage: Eukaryota; Metazoa; Chordata; Aves; Anseriformes; Anatidae
Exons: 7
Source: RefSeq, a predicted model, not a curated record